GUAGGUGAAACAUCCACGGAACUUGUUUUUCUUGCUUUAUGUUGACAGGUUAUACUAACAGUAUUAUAGUGAACCUGCGGAA
RNAcentral lists this ribosomal RNA (82 nucleotides) under Capronia americana. Its description in RNAcentral is "Phialophora americana partial 18S ribosomal RNA". Lineage: Eukaryota; Fungi; Ascomycota; Eurotiomycetes; Chaetothyriales; Herpotrichiellaceae. The record is from RNAcentral.